This 541-nucleotide ribosomal RNA is filed under the name uncultured Anaplasma sp. RNAcentral's name for it is "bacterial SSU rRNA". It matches the Rfam family "Bacterial small subunit ribosomal RNA", at positions 64 to 636 of the family's 1533-position model. The record is from RNAcentral. Lineage: Bacteria; Pseudomonadati; Pseudomonadota; Alphaproteobacteria; Rickettsiales; Anaplasmataceae.
GGAUUAUUCUUUAUAGCUUGCUAUGAUAGAAAUUAGUGGCAGACGGGUGAGUAAUGCAUAGGAAUCUACCUAGUAGUAUGGGAUAGCCACUAGAAAUGGUGGGUAAUACUGUAUAAUCCCUGCGGGGGAAAGAUUUAUCGCUAUUAGAUGAGCCUAUGUUAGAUUAGCUAGUUGGUAGGGUAAAGGCCUACCAAGGCAGUGAUCUAUAGCUGGUCUGAGAGGAUGAUCAGCCACACUGGAACUGAGAUACGGUCCAGACUCCUACGGGAGGCAGCAGUGGGGAAUAUUGGACAAUGGGCGAAAGCCUGAUCCAGCUAUGCCGCGUGAGUGAGGAAGGCCUUAGGGUUGUAAAACUCUUUCAGUGAGGAAGAUAAUGACGGUACCCACAGAAGAAGUCCCGGCAAACUCCGUGCCAGCAGCCGCGGUAAUACGGAGGGGGCAAGCGUUGUUCGGAAUUAUUGGGCGUAAAGGGCAUGUAGGCGGUUCGGUAAGUUAAAGGUGAAAUGCCAGGGCUUAACCCUGGAGCUGCUUUUAAUACUGC